GAUGAAGAACGCAGCGAAAUGCGAUACGUAAUGUGAAUUGCAGAAUUCAGUGAAUCAUCGAAUCUUUGAACGCACAUUGCGCCCCUUGGUAUUCCAUGGGGCAUGCCUGUUCGAGCGUCAUCUACACCCUCAAGCUCUGCUUGGUGUUGGGCGUCUGUCCCGCCCCCGCGCGUGGACUCGCCCCAAAUCCAUUGGCAGCGUUCCUUGCCCCCUCUCGCGCAGCACAUUGCGCUUCUCGAGGGCGGCUCCGGGACGCGAUCCAGCAAGAUGACCACCGUCUUUGACCUCGGAUCAGGUAGGGAUACCCGCUGAACUUAAGCAUAUCAAUAAGCGGAGGA
RNAcentral lists this unclassified non-coding RNA (338 nucleotides) under soil metagenome. RNAcentral describes it as "partial contains 5.8S ribosomal RNA, internal transcribed spacer 2, and large subunit ribosomal RNA". The stretch from base 1 to 120 matches the Rfam family "5.8S ribosomal RNA", at positions 35 to 154 of the family's 154-position model. The record is from RNAcentral.